RNAcentral lists this ribosomal RNA (486 nucleotides) under Granulicatella elegans. RNAcentral describes it as "bacterial SSU rRNA". It matches the Rfam family "Bacterial small subunit ribosomal RNA", at positions 28 to 497 of the family's 1533-position model. The record is from RNAcentral. Lineage: Bacteria; Bacillati; Bacillota; Bacilli; Lactobacillales; Carnobacteriaceae.
GACGAACGCUGGCGGCGUGCCUAAUUCAUGCAAGUCGAACGAGAGCGACCGGUGCUUGCACUGGUCAAUCUAGUGGCGAACGGGUGAGUAACACGUGGGUAACCUGCCCAUCAGAGGGGGAUAACAUUCGGAAACGGAUGCUAAAACCGCAUAGGUUCUACAGUCGCAUGACUGAAGAAGGAAAAGAGGCUUCGGCUUCUGCUGAUGGAUGGACCCGCGGUGCAUUAGCUAGUUGGUGAGGUAACGGCUCACCAAGGCCGUGAUGCAUAGCCGACCUGAGAGGGUGAUCGGCCACAUUGGGACUGAGACACGGCCCAAACUCCUACGGGAGGCAGCAGUAGGGAAUCUUCCGCAAUGGACGCAAGUCUGACGGAGCAACGCCGCGUGAGUGAAGAAGGAUUUCGGUUCGUAAAACUCUGUUGUUAGAGAAGAACAGCGCAUAGAGUAACUGUUAUGCGUGUGACGGAUCUAACCAAAAGCCACGCA